This is a long non-coding RNA of Misgurnus anguillicaudatus (oriental weatherfish), 977 nucleotides long. RefSeq lists it as uncharacterized. Lineage: Eukaryota; Metazoa; Chordata; Actinopteri; Cypriniformes; Cobitidae. The record is from RefSeq and is a predicted model, not a curated record.
UUGCUAAUGUUGGGCCAUGUAAUACAUUAACGUUUUAAUGAAUAGUCUAAUGAUUUAUAAUCGUUGUACUCUAUUGUUAUAAUAUGUCUUUUUGACUGAAUACAUGUUUGUUUUAUUUGUCUAUAUCCUAGAUUCGCAGCUGGACACAUCCUUCUACACUGUAUGCAAACAUGCAACAUCAUUACACACAGUACUGGAGUCAGACUGGCAUAUGAGGAGCAAAGGAACCCAGGCAGUAGCAUCGUUUCACAAUGUUUCAAUCACCAUCAUCAGUGGAUGCCUUUGCCGUCCGUAGCCUGAGAUUUCAGAUUUGCAGCAAAAAAUUUGACUUUCCCAUUUAUUGGAAUGCUGUGCAGGUUGUACCUUGCAGCCAUCCAUUACAAUGUCACCAAGCCGUAACAAAAGCAGAAGAGGGAAAGUACAAGGCUAUGUUCCCAAAACACACAAGUGACAUACUGUAAGCAGUAAUGUUUUAUUUCAAAUACAUUCAUAAUUAAAAACUUAAUGUAUGAAGCAGGGAAAUAAAUGAUCAAAACAAAAGAUUUAUUGACUGCAAUAUUUGUACAGUUAUGUGGAUGAUGUGAUCAGGCUUGUGUUUUGAUGAGGUAUUUGAAGAUAAGCUGAAGGAAACCCUGAUUCCAAUGGACCUGGCAUCACAGUUUGAGAGACCUUCAAAGGAGGACGUGAUUGCAUGCCAUCUUCAGUGUAGGGGUCGUCGGAAGCCAACAUUCCGAUCAGGAAGCUCCAAGCAUAUCUGGAGAACAACACACGACAGGAUGAUAACCUUAUAGUGUCGUCUUAAAUAGCACCAGCUGACAAAGCUUUGAUAUGCCAUUUAUCUGAAUAGAUAGCUGUAAGAAGUGAAUUGAACAAUUUUUGAAAGAAGAGCUCAAUAUGGUUACUAAAGUAUGUUUAUUUGUAUAUUGUUUAACAUUUAAAUAUAUAUUUGUAAUAAAAAAACUUUUGACUGACUACUA